GAUAGAAAAAUUACAAGAUGAGUAGAUAAUUAGAGAUUGUCAAGAGAGCCCGGCUGGUGGGAAAGGGUCAAUCAUCGUUAUUGAAGAUGGUCUUGGUUAAAAAUGUGUCGGUGAGCAAUUGCAAGCCGAUAAUGGGUAACGACCAUUAUUUCGUUGAGUAUGAAGAUACUCAUGAGGCGAUUGUUGAAAGACAAUCGCGAAUAAAGGUGGUACCGCGAAGCUUUUCGUCCUUUCA
RNAcentral lists this non-coding RNA (235 nucleotides) under Lentilactobacillus buchneri. Its description in RNAcentral is "Lactobacillus buchneri T-box sequence". It matches the Rfam family "T-box leader". From Rfam's summary of the family: Uncharged tRNA acts as the effector for transcription antitermination of genes in the T-box leader family. T-boxes are found upstream of many aminoacyl-tRNA synthetase genes and some amino acid biosynthetic genes usually in Gram-positive bacteria. The record is from RNAcentral. Lineage: Bacteria; Bacillati; Bacillota; Bacilli; Lactobacillales; Lactobacillaceae.